RNAcentral lists this ribosomal RNA (606 nucleotides) under uncultured bacterium. Its description in RNAcentral is "bacterial SSU rRNA". It matches the Rfam family "Bacterial small subunit ribosomal RNA", at positions 338 to 946 of the family's 1533-position model. The record is from RNAcentral.
CCUACGGGAGGCAGCAGUGAGGAAUAUUGGACAAUGGGCGCAAGCCUGAUCCAGCCAUGCCGCGUGCAGGAUGACGGUCCUAUGGAUUGUAAACUGCUUUUAUACGAGAAGAAACACCCCUACGUGUAGGGACUUGACGGUAUCGUAAGAAUAAGGAUCGGCUAACUCCGUGCCAGCAGCCGCGGUAAUACGGAGGAUCCAAGCGUUAUCCGGAAUCAUUGGGUUUAAAGGGUCCGUAGGCGGUUUAGUAAGUCAGUGGUGAAAUCUCCCCGCUCAACGGGGAAACGGCCAUUGAUACUGCUAGACUUGAAUUAUUAGGAAGUAACUAGAAUAUGUAGUGUAGCGGUGAAAUGCUUAGAGAUUACAUGGAAUACCAAUUGCGAAGGCAGGUUACUACUAAUGGAUUGACGCUGAUGGACGAAAGCGUGGGUAGCGAACAGGAUUAGAUACCCUGGUAGUCCACGCCGUAAACGAUGGAUACUAGCUGUUGGAAGCAAUUUCAGUGGCUAAGCGAAAGUGAUAAGUAUCCCACCUGGGGAGUACGUUCGCAAGAAUGAAACUUAAAGGAAUUGACGGNUGAGAGNGCGAGACGACGACGAGGAGAGG